RNAcentral lists this ribosomal RNA (1391 nucleotides) under metagenome. RNAcentral describes it as "bacterial LSU rRNA". It matches the Rfam family "Bacterial large subunit ribosomal RNA", at positions 1552 to 2925 of the family's 2925-position model. The record is from RNAcentral.
UACGCCGAGCACCGAGACGAGUCCUAUGAGGACGAAGUGACUGACACCACGCUUCCAGGAAAAGCCACUAAGCUUCAGCUUAAGAAAAACCGUACCGCAAACCGACACAGGUAGGCAGGGUGAGAAUCCCAAGGCGCUUGAGAGAACUCGGGUGAAGGAACUAGGCAAAAUGGCACCGUAACUUCGGGAGAAGGUGCGCCCUUUGGUGUGGUCACGUGCGUGACUGAGCAUCGAAGGGUCGCAGUAACCUGGCCGCUGCGACUGUUUAUCAAAAACACAGCACUCUGCAAACACGAAAGUGGACGUAUAGGGUGUGACGCCUGCCCGGUGCUGGAAGGUUAAUUGAUGGGGUCAGCCGCAAGGCGAAGCUCUUGAUCGAAGCCCCAGUAAACGGCGGCCGUAACGAUAACGGUCCUAAGGUAGCGAAAUUCCUUGUCGGGUAAGUUCCGACCUGCACGAAUGGCGUAACGACAGCGGCGCUGUCUCCACCCGAGACUCAGUGAAAUUGAAAUCGCUGUGAAGAUGCAGCGUUCCCGCGGCAAGACGGAAAGACCCCGUGAACCUUUACUAUAGCUUUACACUGAACGUUGAGUUCUUCUGUGUAGGAUAGGUGGGAGGCUAUGAAACCAGGACGCUAGUUCUGGUGGAGCCAUCCUUGAAAUACCACCCUGAAGUGCUUGACGUUCUAACCUAGGCCCGUAAUCCGGGUCAGGGACCGUGUAUGGUGGGUAGUUUGACUGGGGCGGUCUCCUCCCAAAGAGUAACGGAGGAGCACGAAGGUACGCUCAGCGCGGUCGGACAUCGCGCACUGUGUGCAAAGGCAUAAGCGUGCUUGACUGCGAGAUCGACGGAUCAAGCAGGUACGAAAGUAGGUCUUAGUGAUCCGGUGGUUCUGUAUGGAAGGGCCAUCGCUCAACGGAUAAAAGGUACUCCGGGGAUAACAGGCUGAUACCGCCCAAGAGUUCAUAUCGACGGCGGUGUUUGGCACCUCGAUGUCGGCUCAUCACAUCCUGGGGCUGUAGCCGGUCCCAAGGGUAUGGCUGUUCGCCAUUUAAAGUGGUACGCGAGCUGGGUUCAGAACGUCGUGAGACAGUUCGGUCCCUAUCUGUCGUGGGCGUUGGAGAUUUGAGGGGGGCUGCUCCUAGUACGAGAGGACCGGAGUGGACGUUCCGCUGGUGUUCGGGUUGUCAUGCCCAUGGCAUUGCCCGGUAGCUACGAACGGAAGUGAUAACCGCUGAAAGCAUCUAAGCGGGAAGCACGCCCCAAGAUGAGAUCUCCCGAGAGCUUGACUCUCCUAAAGGCACCAUCAAGACUAGGUGGUUGAUAGGUCAGGUGUGGAAGCGCAGCAAUGCGUUGAGCUAACUGAUACUAAUGAGCCGUGAGGCUUGACC